This 253-nucleotide ribosomal RNA is filed under the name uncultured bacterium. RNAcentral describes it as "partial 16S ribosomal RNA". It matches the Rfam family "Bacterial small subunit ribosomal RNA", at positions 524 to 776 of the family's 1533-position model. The record is from RNAcentral.
UACGUAGGGUGCAAGCGUUAAUCGGAAUUACUGGGCGUAAAGCGUGCGCAGGCGGUGAUGUAAGACAGGUGUGAAAUCCCCGGGCUUAACCUGGGAAUGGCAUUUGGGACUGCAAGGCUGGAGUGCGGCAGAGGAGACUGGAAUUCCUGGUGUAGCAGUGAAAUGCGUAGAUAUCAGGAGGAAUACCGAUGGCGAAGGCAGGUCUCUGGGCUGACACUGACGCUCAUGCACGAAAGCGUGGGGAGCAAACAGG